CCAUCUUUCGCACGGACGUUUGUGCUCUCGCCCGGCAGAGCCGUGGCUCGAGAUGUCGCCGGCGUCCUGAUCCGUGGAUCAGAAUUCAUGCUUUCCAGUUACGCCGGCAGCGGGUGCAGUUAAUGCGGGUGCCGACAGCUAUCUCCUACCUCCAGUCCUUGGAUCUUGGAUUCUUAAGAGCUGUGAAGCGGUCGAGAUAACUCCUGUGACAAAGCGAUCGAUUGCCCGAUCCGGCGAGUAUGGAGUUCUUGAUGCAGGUACGGAUCUGCUCGCUCUCAUUGCUUGUUCGCCAUCUUCUAGAUUUAUGACUGUCAAUAAAUCUAAUCAGUCUGCCCACAAAAUGCGGAAGCAGCAGAACUCUGCUAGAGGUCAACGAGAACAACAUCCCCACGAGUCCUCUUCAGUACCCUGUGAGGAUGCCUCCGGCCGUUGCGUUGCCGACGCACAGAUUUGUGCUGCUGAGGCUGCUCCAGUGGCAGGCAGUGGAGACAAGCGUCAGGGUUCAGAGAACUCCAUAGAGCAUGUUGACCCGAAAACUCCUGGCUGGAUAAAAGGUACUCACAGUUGGAUUGAACCAACUUAUGUUUUGGUUAGAUGUGCCAAAACAGGCUCGGAAGCCAGGAAGAUGUAAAAAUUGUGGCGUUGAAGAGGGCAUCGUUGCCACAAAUCGGCUGAGCUUAGACUGAAGAGUUGAUCUGAUUAAUUACUUGUUAUGUUGAGCUGCACCACAUGAAAAAAUUGAAGCUGUGUUGUACCUGAAUACUUAUAAGUUGUGUUCUUUCAGAAUAAACUUAGCUUGUCUGUAAAACGCCUGGAUGUCAAUUUGCUGUGCUUUGUCUGAGGAUCUCCACACUGAACUACUUCGUACUUACUGUCUGCUGUUUACGCCCGUUGCUGUAGGAUUAAGAACUUUUCUGUGGAUCCCCUGCCUGCAUGAAUUUCGAGACACAAGCUCGGGGUUGGUGCUUCAUGAAAUGUUCAGAUAUAAAACGCCGGACAAAGUUGCCAAGUCCUUCU
Molecule: long non-coding RNA, 1017 nt
Filed under: Triticum aestivum (bread wheat)
Lineage: Eukaryota; Viridiplantae; Streptophyta; Magnoliopsida; Poales; Poaceae
Description: long non-coding RNA (TAES_LNC008883)
Source: RNAcentral